Molecule: ribosomal RNA, 799 nt
Filed under: uncultured bacterium
Lineage: Bacteria
Description: bacterial SSU rRNA
Rfam family: Bacterial small subunit ribosomal RNA
Source: RNAcentral
AGAGUUUGAUCAUGGCUCAGAUUGAACGCUGGCGGUAUGCUUAACACAUGCAAGUCGAACGGCAGCACGAGAGAGCUUGCUCUCUUGGUGGCGAGUGGCGGACGGGUGAGUAACGCGUAGGAAUCUGCCUAAUAGUGGGGGACAACUCGGGGAAACUCGAGCUAAUACCGCAUACGCCCUACGGGGGAAAGCGGGGGAUCUUCGGACCUCGCGCUAUUAGAUGAGCCUGCGUUGGAUUAGCUUGUUGGUGAGGUAAUGGCUCACCAAGGCGACGAUCCAUAGCUGGUCUGAGAGGACGAUCAGCCACACUGGGACUGAGACACGGCCCAGACUCCUACGGGAGGCAGCAGUGGGGAAUAUUGGACAAUGGGGGAAACCCUGAUCCAGCAAUACCGCGUGUGUGAAGAAGGCCUGCGGGUUGUAAAGCACUUUCAAUUGGGAAGAAAAGCUUAGAGUUAAUACCUCUGAGUCUUGACGUUACCUUUAGAAGAAGCACCGGCUAACUCCGUGCCAGCAGCCGCGGUAAUACGGAGGGUGCAAGCGUUAAUCGGAAUUACUGGGCGUAAAGCGCGCGUAGGUGGUUUGGUAAGUCAGAUGUGAAAGCCCUGGGCUCAACCUGGGAAUUGCAUUUGAUACUGCUUGACUAGAGUAUGGUAGAGGGAAGCGGAAUUCCGGGUGUAGCGGUGAAAUGCGUAGAUAUCCGGAGGAACAUCAGUGGCGAAGGCGGCUUCCUGGACCAAUACUGACACUGAGGUGCGAAAGCGUGGGUAGCAAACAGGAUUAGAUACCCUAGUAGUCC